This is a long non-coding RNA of Ruditapes philippinarum (Manila clam), 304 nucleotides long. RefSeq lists it as uncharacterized. NCBI's taxonomy places the organism in Eukaryota, Metazoa, Mollusca, Bivalvia, Venerida, Veneridae. The record is from RefSeq and is a predicted model, not a curated record. The transcript has 2 exons.
UGUUUUCUUUCUUUUCAGUUGCGUACGUGUAUGGUGAGAACUGUACCAGUUCUGCACAGGAAUGUACGAGUUUUACAUGUUCUCCAAACUUCCAUAAAGAAUGUGUUAACAUGGUGUGCACGUGUAAUCCAAAUCAAGCCGUUACUUGCUAUUUUCAAUCUGAUUGUACGAACAGUGAUCAACUACCAAAUUGUAACAGAAAUUGGCAUUGCGUAGACAACAGAUGCAGAUGUUAUUAACAAUUCUAUUAUCGAGAUACUGAUAUUAAUUUGGCAAGACAACACUAGUAAAAUCACGAAGUAUA